AUAGGGCAGACUUUUUGAUUAUGAACCCGACCCGAUCUGACCCAAUUUUAAAUUGAGUUGGAUUUGGAUCCAACAUUAGGACCCGAUUAAGGGACUAGCUUGGAUCGGAAUCACUUAUGACUCGGUUCGACCAGACCCAUUUGCAACCCUAAUCUCCACACGCCCAAAGUAGUUGGGCAACUUAGUUUCUACGCCAAGAAAAAGAAAGACUGCGGUUCAAGUGUUGAGAUCACGGAAAGAGGAAGAUCAAGUGUUGAUCAAAGAUCCAAAAGGCUGAGAUUUGG
This 284-nucleotide long non-coding RNA is filed under the name Elaeis guineensis (African oil palm). RNAcentral describes it as "long non-coding RNA (EGUI_LNC020783)". The record is from RNAcentral. Lineage: Eukaryota; Viridiplantae; Streptophyta; Magnoliopsida; Arecales; Arecaceae.